RNAcentral lists this ribosomal RNA (339 nucleotides) under Triticum aestivum (bread wheat). Its description in RNAcentral is "partial small subunit ribosomal RNA". Lineage: Eukaryota; Viridiplantae; Streptophyta; Magnoliopsida; Poales; Poaceae. The record is from RNAcentral.
AUGUUCCCCAACCUCAAGCUGCUCGACCUAACGGGGGAAUACGAGCACCUGGAAAACGACGACACGCAAUUGGCAAUGGCGAGGCUGCUCGGCUCUUGCCCGGUCAUGUCUGAACUCCGGCUUUGGUUGAAAAUGAAGCCAGGCCAACGCCACCGGCAGUCAAAGAAUGAUCCACCUGGAGGGGCCUUCGCCGUAUCCAUGGACCGAUUCAACAGGCUCGCCUCCAUGGCUUACGUGCAAGGUGGUAAUAGCAUCAAAGGUUCCCUGCAAGAUCUCAGAGCUCAACGCCUUGGGCAGCUGCACCCUCAGUUGUUUGAGCAAGGUGACGUUGCGAUUUGA